Molecule: ribosomal RNA, 468 nt
Filed under: uncultured bacterium
Lineage: Bacteria
Description: partial 16S ribosomal RNA
Rfam family: Bacterial small subunit ribosomal RNA
Source: RNAcentral
GACGAACGCUGGCGGCGUGCUUAACACAUGCAAGUCGAACGGAAAGGCCCUGCUUUUGUGGGGUGCUCGAGUGGCGAACGGGUGAGUAACACGUGAGUAACCUGCCCUUGACUUUGGGAUAACUUCAGGAAACUGGGGCUAAUACAGGAUAGGAGCUCCUGCUGCAUGGUGGGGGUUGGAAAGUUUCGGCGGUUGGGGAUGGACUCGCGGCUUAUCAGCUUGUUGGUGGGGUAGUGGCUUACCAAGGCUUUGACGGGUAGCCGGCCUGAGAGGGUGACCGGCCACAUUGGGACUGAGAUACGGCCCAGACGCCUACGGUGGGCAGCAGUCGGGAAUAUUGCACAAUGGGCGGGAGCCUGAUGCAGCAACGCCGCGUGCGGGAUGACGGCCUUCGGGUUGUAAACCGCUUUCGCCUGUGACGAAGCGUGAGUGACGGUAAUGGGUAAAGAAGCACCGGCUAACUACGUG